CAGCUCCUCAGAGCGUUUGGUAAGGCCCUUGGUCUUACAUUCUGGAGGCACUGCUGGGAUCCCUGGGUGUGCUUCACUACAGUCAGCUCCUCAGAGCGUUUGGUAAGGCCCCAGGUCUUACAUUUUGGAGGCCCCAGCGAGAUCCCGGGUAAGGAACCCCAGUUCAGCUGAGACUCUGUGGUGGGAUCCAGCAGGAGACUCAGGCACAGGCCUCAGAAAACCUCCGGAGGUGACUAUUCUUCAGUAUGUCAAUGACCUCUUGGUGGUGACUUCAACCAAUAAAGAAUGCAUUGCAGCCACCAAGGGCCUCCUGAAAGCCCUCCAGGAACUGGGAUAUCAGGUGUCCUGGAAGAAAGCUCAACUCUGCCAGACCAAGGUAACCUACUUGGGCUAUAUUCUUGAAAAGGGAAAGUGAAGGCUGGCAGAAUUGAGAGUAUCUGCAAUUCUCCAGAUUCUGAAGCCAGGCUCAAAGAAACAGGUGUGAGAGUUCCUAGGGGUGGUUGGCUAUUGCAGGAUUUGGAUUCCUGGCUUUGCUGAGAUUGCCAAACCCCUGCAUGAGGCCACUGUGGGAGGAAAUACACCUCUCGAAUGGACUGAGGCUUGCCAGCAGGCAUUUCAAUUGCUUAAGACUGCACUUGCACCAGCACCAGCCCUGGCAUUGCCAGACUUAAACAAGCCCUUUACCCUGUAUGUGACAGAGAAAAAUGGGGUAACUAAGGGAGUGAUUACUCAGCUUUUGGGGCCAUAGAAGUGUUCUGUGGCAUGCCUCUCAAAGAAGCUCAACCCAGUGGCCCGAGGGUGGCUUACUUGUUUGAGGACAGUAGCAGCAGCAGCUCCUUUAACCCAAGAGGCUGACAAAUUGACCUUUGGAUAGGAUUUGACUUUGAUUACUCCCCAUGCCAUUGAGCCCUUAGGCUCUGGAAUUGGAAAAAAAAAAAGGAUAAAUAUAUUCACUGAUAGCCGUUAUGCUUUUGCCACUGCCCAUGUACAUGGGGAAAUUUAUCAAAAUAGAGGACUGUUGACCUCUGAAGGAAAGGAAAUCAAAAAUAAGACAGAUAUUGGCAUUGCUACAAACAAUCUGGUUGCCUCGAGAGGUCGCCAUCAUCCAUUGCCGUGGGCACCAGAAGGGGCUUAGCCCCGAGAUGAUUGGUAAUAAUGCUGCUGACCAGGUGGCAAAACAAGCUGCCCAAAAAUCAGUGGGGAGGCAAAUGGUUCUGCUUCCCAUGCAGGUACUCACAGAAAAACCUGAAUACACAGAUAAAGUAGCGGAAAUGAACAGGAGACGCUGGACUUGAGGAAAACAUGGAUGGUGGACGACUAAGGAUGGAAAGGUGAUGCUCCCAGCUGCUGUAGCAGACACGUUGCUGCUAGAACUACAUGAGUCCACCCACCUCAGCGAGAAAAGGAUGAUGGCUGCCCUGCAACCUCAUUUCGUCAGUGAGGGAUUAGCCCAAAAGGCCCAGGACAUGGUGAGACGAUGCCCCACCUGCCUCAAGGUUUGAUUCCAAGACCCUGGAACCUUGUUAAAAGGGACUGGUUCCUGUUGUCCUGUCAACUCCCUUGGCGGUAAAAGUGGCUGGACAUUCUGCCUGGAUACAUUGCAACUAUCUAAAAACAGGACCCCCCAUGGACAUCAAAAAGGACAAGUGAAAGGUUAUCAGCCAACCAGGCAACCAAAAGCUAAGACUGGAACAGGUUGGAAAUGUUUCAUCUUAAUGAUAAUAUUUUCUGGGACACUAGCAGUAUUGCCCCCAAGAGGACUAGAUCACACAAAAAAUGUAUGGAUUCAAUUGGCAAACUCACUUAACUUCUCUGAAUUCUGCUUAAAUGUUGAUGUAAAUUUCCAUUAUAUGCUGGAAAGCUGUCUUAUUCCGGUAUACACCUCUUUAAAAUUAAUACGACCCUAUACCCUAUUUAAGGACAUCCCAGGAAAAAAAAUCUUACUUACAUGGAUAGUUAUAAUUGGGGACAUGACACCUGCAGUAAACCUAAAAAUGCUGUCAAAUUAUAUACACCCAAGGUAAUUAUGUCAAACAAAACUAAAUGUGCUAUGUAUAAAAAUUGUACAACCAAAUGUCUGAGGAUAAAAUGGUCAGAAGGGAUGUCCUGCCAUAUAAAACAAAAAAUUGUGUGUAACAAUUGCCAUAUCUCACUGCCCACAGGAUGGUUUUAUACCUAUGAAGAAAUAACCUUUAAUUAUAUUCCAGCAAAUUUAACCAAGACCCGCUGCUGUUUGAGUCGUCUAGCUGUAGUGUUGCCGGACAGAACUGAUUUGAUUGUGCCUAACAGAACUAAACGUUGGCCACCUUACACUGCACCAGGAUGCAAUGAUGAUGUAGGUCUGUUAACAGAUGCUAAAGUAAUAACCAUGAUAGCAUCUUUUGUUGCCCUGCCUUCUAUAGGAGUCCAUGCUAAAAAGACAGUACAAAAAUUAGCUUGCAAGGUGGUCAAAGGGUUAAAUGCUACCUCAUCAGCCUUGGCAUUAAUUAACCAAGAGUUACAGGAUCAGAGACAGGCAAUCUUAGAUAAUAGAACAACAAUAGACUAUUUGUUGCUCCUCUACCACCAAGGUUGUGAAAGAGUAAAAAAUAUGUGUUGUUUCAAUCUUACCGAUAAUGGUCCAAAGAUCAAAAAAAA
This is a non-coding RNA of Heterocephalus glaber (naked mole-rat), 2637 nucleotides long. NCBI's taxonomy places the organism in Eukaryota, Metazoa, Chordata, Mammalia, Rodentia, Bathyergidae. The record is from RefSeq and is a predicted model, not a curated record.